UCGGGUCCGAGUUGUAAUUUGUAGAGGAUGCUUUUGGUGAGGUGCCUUCCGAGUUCCCUGGAACGGGACGCCAUAGAGGGUGAGAGCCCCGUCUGGUCGGACACCGAUCCUCUGUAAAGCUCCUUCGACGAGUCGAGUAGUUUGGGAAUGCUGCUCUAAAUGGGAGGUAUAUGUCUUCUAAAGCUAAAUAUUGGCCAGAGACCGAUAGCGCACAAGUAGAGUGAUCGAAAGAUGAAAAGCACUUUGAAAAGAGGGUUAAACAGUACGUGAAAUUGUUGAAAGGGAAGCGCUUGUGACCAGACUUGGGCCCGGUUAAUCAUCCAGUGUUCUCACUGGUGCACUUGGCCGGCCCAGGCCAGCAUCAGUUCGGUGCGGGGGAUAAAGGCGUCGGGAAUGUGGCUCCUCCGGGAGUGUUAUAGCCCGUCGUGCAAUACCCUGCGCUGGACUGAGGUUCGCGCAUCUGCAAGGAU
RNAcentral lists this ribosomal RNA (470 nucleotides) under Fusicolla sporellula. Its description in RNAcentral is "partial large subunit ribosomal RNA". It matches the Rfam family "Eukaryotic large subunit ribosomal RNA", at positions 132 to 624 of the family's 3401-position model. The record is from RNAcentral. Lineage: Eukaryota; Fungi; Ascomycota; Sordariomycetes; Hypocreales; Nectriaceae.